This 292-nucleotide ribosomal RNA is filed under the name uncultured prokaryote. Its description in RNAcentral is "partial 16S ribosomal RNA". It matches the Rfam family "Bacterial small subunit ribosomal RNA", at positions 505 to 796 of the family's 1533-position model. The record is from RNAcentral.
GUGCCAGCAGCCGCGGUAAUACAGAGGGGGCAAGCGUUGUUCGGAAUUACUGGGCGUAAAGGGCGCGUAGGCGGCCUUCUAAGUCGAACGUGAAAUCCCCGGGCUCAACCCGGGAACUGCGUCCGAGACUGGAAGGCUCGAAUCCGGGAGAGGGAUGUGGAAUUCCAGGUGUAGCGGUGAAAUGCGUAGAUAUCUGGAGGAACAUCCGUGGCGAAGGCGGCAUCCUGGACCGGUAUUGACGCUGAGGCGCGAAAGCCAGGGGAGCAAGCGGGAUUAGAUACCCCGGUAGUCC